Non-coding RNA from Mus musculus (house mouse), 50 nucleotides. Lineage: Eukaryota; Metazoa; Chordata; Mammalia; Rodentia; Muridae. The record is from Rfam.
GGGAGACGGGAGAGGGCCAACCCCAGGCCCCCAAUCAAUGUUAUGGGGCU